AGGAUCUUGAUCAGCUAUUAUGCAUUACAUAACGAAUGGCAAUACUGAUUGCGCAUGCUCAAUUGGGCGUGGUCAUGACUUGAUCGUUGUCAAUGAGAUAGAGCUGCACAGUUAGCUAGCUAGCUACUGAGUGAUAGGAUUAGUUUCAUGGUUGUUGUUCAUGGGUGCUCAAGCCCCCAAAGCCCCCCAUUGUACACGCCACUGUACAGGGACAGUGGACGGACAGCGACUGAUACUGGCACUCCUCACCUGGGUUGUACUGCCAGCAUUAUAAUAAUAGGCAUCAUUAUUAUUACUGCAUGAGCAUUACAUUACAUGCUGUGUCCUAACCUGUGCCCUAACAAUGUUAUUAUCACAAUACAUGUUCUGGGAAACCACUGGCAGAAUUUGGAGAAUACUAGAGGAAACAACACUAUACAGAGUAUCUACUGCUACUAUACUGAAUUAAGUCAAGUCUGUAUGGAGCAUCUCUUCACCGGCAAUGACAUCACUGGCAUUGGUGGAAUACAAUGUCCUCCUCCUUAAGAAAAACUACUACACUCAACUACAUCUCAUCAGUCAUAAUUCAAUCAUCAACUCAUUUUAUUUAUUGGGGGCCCCUUCAUAUUUUCAUUUCUUUUUUCGUUUUCGUUGUUAUAAAUCAUGAAAGAAGAAGAAAAAUGAUCAGGAGGAGGAGGAGUGGUCAGGCCACACCUACAAUGUACAUGUGACCACGCCUCUAAUUCUAGGCCACACCCACCUUUCCACACCUUCAUGUGAGCUGUGGGUGUGCCUAGUACUACAUACACACAUGAUGCUUUGUCCCUGUAUAGACAGUACGUAUAACUAUAUUUAAUAAUACUCGAUUUCUAACCACCUGGAUUUAACAUAACCUUCAAACCAACCGGAAACUAACAGAACCUUCUAAUCAACUGGACUGGGAUAGCCUCAAUAUAGAUAUCCCAGAUGGUCCCAUGGGCGGAUGGGCGGGGGGCCAGCGAUGCAGUGCCACAUACUCGCGACGGUGCUGGCUGUCACACUGCAUGGAGGGAGGACUAUCUCUCUAUAGUGUGCAAGAGCACUGCAAACUGAACACACUUUUGUAAUUUCAAUUUCUCAAUGAUUUGCUAUAAUUAAUGUGGUUUUGAAAAUUCAAUAAGAAAUUUUAACACAACAA
Halichondria panicea is the source of this 1156-nucleotide long non-coding RNA. RefSeq lists it as uncharacterized. The transcript is spliced from 3 exons. Lineage: Eukaryota; Metazoa; Porifera; Demospongiae; Suberitida; Halichondriidae. The record is from RefSeq and is a predicted model, not a curated record.